CACGCCGUAAACGAUGUCAACUAGCCGUUGGGUUCCUUGAGAACUUAGUGGCGCAGCUAACGCAUUAAGUUGACCGCCUGGGGAGUACGGCCGCAAGGUUAAAACUCAAAUGAAUUGACGGGGGCCCGCACAAGCGGUGGAGCAUGUGGUUUAAUUCGAAGCAACGCGAAGAACCUUACCAGGCCUUGACAUGCAGAGAACUUUCCAGAGAUGGAUUGGUGCCUUCGGGAACUCUGACACAGGUGC
Molecule: ribosomal RNA, 246 nt
Filed under: uncultured bacterium
Lineage: Bacteria
Description: partial 16S ribosomal RNA
Rfam family: Bacterial small subunit ribosomal RNA
Source: RNAcentral